This 352-nucleotide ribosomal RNA is filed under the name uncultured Racocetra. RNAcentral's name for it is "SSU rRNA". It matches the Rfam family "Eukaryotic small subunit ribosomal RNA", at positions 569 to 929 of the family's 1831-position model. The record is from RNAcentral. Lineage: Eukaryota; Fungi; Glomeromycota; Glomeromycetes; Diversisporales; Gigasporaceae.
AGCAGCCGCGGUAAUUCCAGCUCCAAUAGCGUAUAUUAAAGUUGUUGCAGUUAAAAAGCUCGUAGUUGAAUUUCGGGGUUCUACCGUUGGUCGGGCUUUGUCUGUACUGGCGUGUAGAAUUUCUACCUUCUGGGGAACCAUCAUGUUAUUAAUUUAACGUGGUGGGAAACCAGGACCUUUACCUUGAAAAAAUUAGAGUGUUCAAAGCAGGCUUACGUCUGAAUACAUUAGCAUGGAAUAAUAAAAUAGGACGGUGGUCCUGUUUUGUUGGUUUCUGAAUCACCGUAAUGAUUAACAGGGAUAGUUGGGGGCAUUAGUAUUCAAUUGUCAGAGGUGAAAUUCUUGGAUUUAU